RNAcentral lists this ribosomal RNA (568 nucleotides) under Gymnodiniaceae sp. ZH-2018a. RNAcentral's name for it is "partial large subunit ribosomal RNA". It matches the Rfam family "Eukaryotic large subunit ribosomal RNA", at positions 328 to 853 of the family's 3401-position model. Lineage: Eukaryota; Dinophyceae; Gymnodiniales; Gymnodiniaceae. The record is from RNAcentral.
ACGAGAUGCAAGUACCAUGAGGGAAAGAUGAAAAGGACUUUGAAAAGAGAGUUAAAAGUGCCUGAACUCGCUGAAAGGAAAGCGGAUGGAACCAGUCGUGCUUGGCGAGAUUGUUGCGUGCAAAGGUGACUGCUCACUGCUCGUAGCGUAAGCGCAGCAGCGGGUUUCGAUCUGGUCGCGCGCGAUGCUUCUUGCCUUGUUCGUCAUCGUUGGUUUGGAGGCGCGGACAACUCUUGGGACAUGGUAACUCGCCCACGGGCGAGCGAAUGUGCCUUGCAGAACUCACCUCCAAACUGAUGUCUCUUGUUAGGUUCUGUUGCCGUACGCGGCACGUUCUUGACAAAGCGUGGUGACAGAAUGGUUCUAUUCGACCCGUCUUGAAAACACGGGACCAAGGAGUCUAACAUAUGUGCAAGUUCUUCGGGGUGGGAACCGUACGACUUGUCGAAACUCGAAACUAGUAAGGUACGUAGGUCUCGGGUAGUACGUUUAGUCGACCCUUAGGCCAAACCGUACCCAAAGUCCAAAGUUCCGGAACCGAAAGUACGGUUUAAGUUAGGGGUAAGUA